GACUCUGUAGCUCAGUUGAUUAGAGCGCUGCACCGGAAUCGCAGGGCCGUAGGUUCAAUUCCUACCAGAGGAC
RNAcentral lists this transfer RNA (73 nucleotides) under Paramuricea clavata. RNAcentral's name for it is "tRNA-Ser". It matches the Rfam family "tRNA". Rfam says of the family: Transfer RNA (tRNA) molecules are approximately 80 nucleotides in length. Their secondary structure includes four short double-helical elements and three loops (D, anti-codon, and T loops). Further hydrogen bonds mediate the characteristic L-shaped molecular structure. tRNAs have two regions of fundamental functional importance: the anti-codon, which is responsible for specific mRNA codon recognition, and the 3' end, to which the tRNAs corresponding amino acid is attached (by aminoacyl-tRNA synthetases). tRNAs cope with the degeneracy of the genetic code in two manners: having more than one tRNA (with a specific anti-codon) for a particular amino acid; and 'wobble' base-pairing, i.e. permitting non-standard base-pairing at the 3rd anti-codon position. Lineage: Eukaryota; Metazoa; Cnidaria; Anthozoa; Malacalcyonacea; Plexauridae. The record is from RNAcentral.